AGAAUCAACGCUGGCGGCGUGCCUAACACAUGCAAGUCGAACGAGAAAGUGGAGCAAUCCAUGAGUAAAGUGGCGCACGGGUGAGUAACACGUGACUAACCUACCCUGGAGUGGGGGAUAACUGAGGGAAACCUUAGCUAAUACCGCAUAAUACCCACGGGUCAAAGGAGCAAUUCGCUCUAGGAGGGGGUCGCGGCAGAUUAGCUAGUUGGCGGGGUAAUGGCCCACCAAGGCAGUGAUCUGUAUCCGGCCUGAGAGGGCGCACGGACACACUGGAACUGAAACACGGUCCAGACUCCUACGGGAGGCAGCAGUGGGAAUUUUGCGCAAUGGGGGAAACCCUGACGCAGCAACGCCGCGUGGAGGAUGAAGUCCCUUGGGACGUAAACUCCUUUCGAUCGGGACGAUUAUGACGGUACCGGAAGAAGAAGCCCCGGCUAACUUCGUGCCAGCAGCCGC
RNAcentral lists this ribosomal RNA (459 nucleotides) under uncultured bacterium. RNAcentral's name for it is "SSU rRNA". It matches the Rfam family "Bacterial small subunit ribosomal RNA", at positions 26 to 518 of the family's 1533-position model. The record is from RNAcentral.